Molecule: long non-coding RNA, 464 nt
Filed under: Homo sapiens (human)
Lineage: Eukaryota; Metazoa; Chordata; Mammalia; Primates; Hominidae
Description: long non-coding RNA NONHSAT185688.1
Source: RNAcentral
UAAAAGUUUUAAACAAUGUUUAAAAAUAUUAAGGCAGAUAAUAACGUCAACACAGCUUAUCUGGGAAGCAGAUGCUGAGAGAAAGUUAAGAGGGGAAGUUUCUUAGGGUUCAAUGCCUAAAAAAGAUAAAAGGCGAAAGAAGAAAAUGAAGCAGAGACAGACUUCAACUGUGAUGCAGAGCUGACACCUGUGAAAGGAAAGAUGGAGAGGUAUAAGAAGAAGAAUUGAGUAGAGAGGGACUCAGACUACGAUGUAAAUCAGAGUUUUUAGCCAUGCAUCGGAAUCACCUCAGGACUCCACUCCCAAUCAAUUAUAUAUCUGGGGGAGGACCAAGGCGUUGGUAUUUUUCAGAAGCUCCACUGGUGAUUCUGACAGCACAGCUAGGAUUAAGAAACUGAUCAAUGGGAACGGCAUGCCUGUUGCAGAGGAGCUUCCCUGGGAAAUGUCACACACAGAACAUCAAU